RNAcentral lists this ribosomal RNA (451 nucleotides) under uncultured bacterium. RNAcentral's name for it is "partial 16S ribosomal RNA". It matches the Rfam family "Bacterial small subunit ribosomal RNA", at positions 30 to 507 of the family's 1533-position model. The record is from RNAcentral.
AGCGAACGCUGGCGGCAUGCCUAACACAUGCAAGUCGCACGGGGGGGCUUCGGCCUCCCAGUGGCGGACGGGUGAGGAACGCGUAGGGACCUGUCGAGGGGUGGGGGAUAACCGCGGGAAACUGCGGCUAAUACCGCAUGACGCCGCGGCGUGACAGCCGGGGCCAAAGGCGAAAGCCGCCCGCCGAGGGGCCUGCGUCCGAUUAGCUGGUUGGCGGGGUAGCGGCCCACCAAGGCGUCGAACGGUAGCUGGUCUGAGAGGGUGAUCAGCCACACCGGGACUGAGACACGGCCCGGACUCCUACGGGAGGCAGCAGUGGGGAAUAUUAGACAAUGGGCGCAAGCCUGAUCCAGCAAUGCCGCGUGGGUGAAGAAGGUCUUCGGAUUGUAAAGCCCUUUCGGCGGGGACGAUGGUGACGGUACCCGCAGAAGAAGCCCCGGCUAAGUUCGUG